GACUAAAUGUUCUCUUCUUCUACUGCAGGUUGUCCGCCCCGCUGGAGGUGGCCACUAUCAAGCCACUUGGCCUGGACAAGCAGCAGUGCUCCCAGUAGGCGGUGGUGCAGGCCCGCCUGACCCAGCCUGCCCGCCUCACCAGCAUCAUCUUCACAGAGGACAUCAGUAAGGGCUGAGUGCCCUUACAGGCAUAAGCCACCUUGCUCAGCCUAUUUGUAAGGUUUUUGAUACAUGGGACUGUAUUGCUUUCCAACAAAACAAUGUUAACAAUGUACAAGUACCUGGAGAAGAGUCAGAAAAAUGUUGUAUCCUGCUGCUAUGCUUACAUUUCAGAAUUCCCCAGCCACAGGCCAGGUCCUGCGCUGUGAUGCCAUCGUGGACCUCAUCCAUGACAUCCAGAUUGUCUCCACCAUCCGCGAGCUCUACCUGGAGGACUCCCCCACAGAGCUGAAGAUCCAGGCCCUGGACUCCGAGGACUGGAGAGGACGAAGGCCCUGAGGUCCAAGAACAUUGACAGUGGACACCAAUGGCUUUGGG
This 537-nucleotide long non-coding RNA is filed under the name Cercocebus atys (sooty mangabey). Its description in RNAcentral is "lncRNA (ENSCATG00000045716.1)". Lineage: Eukaryota; Metazoa; Chordata; Mammalia; Primates; Cercopithecidae. The record is from RNAcentral.